UGAUGUCCGUUCCGCUUCCUGUCUGAAGUCCAGCAGGAAGCUUUGAUGACAUCACAGAGAAAUUGGGGGUCUUUUUCACCCAGAAAGCUGCAGGCAACAUGCCAAACGUCAAACAGCUUGCUGGUUUUGCGGGACCUCACAAAC
This is a non-coding RNA of Nerophis lumbriciformis (worm pipefish), 144 nucleotides long. The record is from RefSeq and is a predicted model, not a curated record. NCBI's taxonomy places the organism in Eukaryota, Metazoa, Chordata, Actinopteri, Syngnathiformes, Syngnathidae.